CUUUGCUAGGUGCUGGCCUUGGUGUACAAUUCUUUGUGGGUCCUGGUUUGGAAAAGGGCCUUACUGUGAAUAAACUUACAUUUGAUAUCAGCAAGUGCUCAGCCACAGCUCUGUGACUGAGCAGAGAGCAGCCUCAAAGCUUUUAGCAGGUCACAAAUGAACCCCAAAGAGAUUGUGGCUGAAGCCUGCAGACCCUGUGCUCAUGCUGUUACCUCUUUGCCUCCCUGUCCUGAAUGCCUG
Zonotrichia leucophrys gambelii is the source of this 240-nucleotide long non-coding RNA. RefSeq lists it as uncharacterized. The transcript is spliced from 3 exons. The record is from RefSeq and is a predicted model, not a curated record. NCBI's taxonomy places the organism in Eukaryota, Metazoa, Chordata, Aves, Passeriformes, Passerellidae.